AACGAACGCUGGCGGCGUGCUUAACACAUGCAAGUCGAACGAGAAUUUCUGAUUUCGGUUAGAAUAGUAAAGUGGCGCACGGGUGAGUAACGCGUGGAUAAUCUACCCUUUAGUCUGGGAUAACUUUGCGAAAGUGAAACUAAUACUGGAUAUUGCCACAGUGACUUUUGGUUAUAGUGGUGAAAGAUGACCUCUUUGAUAAAGUUGUUGCUGAGGGAUGAGUCCGCGUACCAUUAGCUAGUUGGUGGGGUAACUGCCUACCAAGGCAACGAUGGUUAGCUGGUCUGAGAGGAUGAUCAGCCACACUGGAACUGACACACGGUCCAGACUCCUACGGGAGGCAGCAGUGAGGAAUUUUGCGCAAUGGGGGCAACCCUGACGCAGCAACGCCGCGUGAGUGAAGAAGGCCUUCGGGUUGUAAAGCUCUGUCAAUUGGGAAAAAUGGUAUAUGUUUAAUAUAUGUGUACUUUGAUGGUACCAUUGAAGGAAGCACCGGCUAACUCCGUGCCAGCAGCCGCCGUGUAAAAC
RNAcentral lists this ribosomal RNA (528 nucleotides) under uncultured bacterium. RNAcentral's name for it is "bacterial SSU rRNA". It matches the Rfam family "Bacterial small subunit ribosomal RNA", at positions 29 to 526 of the family's 1533-position model. The record is from RNAcentral.